RNAcentral lists this ribosomal RNA (569 nucleotides) under Blastocystis sp. subtype 4. RNAcentral's name for it is "SSU rRNA". It matches the Rfam family "Eukaryotic small subunit ribosomal RNA", at positions 24 to 609 of the family's 1831-position model. Lineage: Eukaryota; Bigyra; Opalinata; Blastocystidae. The record is from RNAcentral.
UCAUACGCUCGUCUCAAAGAUUAAGCCAUGCAUGUGUAAGUAUAAAUAUUUAACUUUGAAACUGCGAAUGGCUCAUUAUAUCAGUUAUAGUUUAUUUGAUGAAAAGUACUACUUGGAUAACCGUAGUAAUUCUAGAGCUAAUACAUGAUAAAAUCCUCGACUUUGAAGAGGUGUAUUUAUUANAAUGAAACCAAUAGACUUCGGUCUGUUUGUGAGUAAUAAUAACUAAUCGUAUCGCAUGCUUANGUAGCGAUAUGUCUUUCANGUUUCUGCCCUAUCAGCUUUGGAUGGUAGUGUAUUGGACUACCAUGGCAGUAACGGGUAACGAAGAAUUUGGGUUCGAUUUCGGAGAGGGAGCCUGAGAGAUGGCUACCACAUCCNAGGAAGGCAGCAGGCGCGUAAAUUACCCAAUCCUGACAUAGGGAGGUAGUGACAAUAAAUCACAAUGCGGAACUAUUAGUUUUGCAAUUGGAUUGAGAACAAUGUACAAAUGUUAUCGAUAAACAAUUGGAGGGCAAGUCUGGUGCCAGCAGCCGCGGUAAUUCCAGCUCCAAUAGCGUAUAUUAACG